Molecule: ribosomal RNA, 881 nt
Filed under: uncultured bacterium
Lineage: Bacteria
Description: bacterial SSU rRNA
Rfam family: Bacterial small subunit ribosomal RNA
Source: RNAcentral
AGAGUUUGAUCCUGGCUCAGGAUAAACGCUGGCGGCGUGCCUAACACAUGCAAGUCGAACGCCCUCUCGCGAGAGAGGGAGUGGCGGACGGGUGAGUAGCACGUGGGUACCUGCCCUGGGAUGAGGAAUACCACCGGGAAACCGGUGACAAUACCGCAUACGCUCGGACAACCGAGCAAAGCUCUUUUUCGGAAGGGCGCGCGUGGACGAGCCUGUGUCUGAUUAGUUCGUUGGUGGGGUAAGAGCCUACCAAGACUGCGAUCAGUCGCUGGUCUGAGAGGAUGAUCAGCCACACUGGGAUUGAGAACGGCCCAGACUCCUACGGGGGGCAGUAGUGAGGAAUAUUCGGCAAUGGGGGCAACCCUGACCGAGCAACGCCGCGUGCAGGAUGACGGCCUUCGGGUUGUAAACUGCUUUUCUGGGGGAUGAGAGUGGACAGUACCCCAGGAAGAAGCUCCGGCUAACUACGUGCCAGCAGCCGCGGUAAUACGUAGGGAGCAAGCGUUGUCCGGAGUUACUGGGCGUAAAGCGCACGCAGGCGGUCAGUCGCGUUCGUGCCGACAGCGACUCGCCUAACGAGUCGAGGAGUACGGAAACGGGCAGACUUGAGGGUCAGAGAGGGACACGGAACUCCGGGUGGAGUGGUGAAAUGCGUAGAGAUCCGGAAGAACACCAAAGGCGAAGGCAGUGUCCUGGCUGAUACCUGACGCUCAGAGGCGACAGCGAGGGGAGCGAACCGGAUUAGAUACCCGGGUAGUCCACGCCGUAAACGAUGGCGACUAGACCUGGGGGGUAUCGACCCCUUCCGGGUCGACGCAAACGCAUGAAGUCGCCCGCCUGGGGAGUACGGCCGCAAGGCUAAAACUCAAAGGAAUUGACGG